Molecule: non-coding RNA, 72 nt
Organism: Ostertagia ostertagi
Lineage: Eukaryota; Metazoa; Nematoda; Chromadorea; Rhabditida; Trichostrongylidae
Source: the annotation of a GenBank genome assembly
GCCUCAUUGGUAUAGUCGCAGAGUGUCUGUCUUGUAAAAAGAAGGUCUCUGGUUCGAUUCCAGCAUGGGGCA